Molecule: ribosomal RNA, 130 nt
Filed under: Kosakonia arachidis
Lineage: Bacteria; Pseudomonadati; Pseudomonadota; Gammaproteobacteria; Enterobacterales; Enterobacteriaceae
Description: 16S rRNA. Bacterial SSU
Rfam family: Bacterial small subunit ribosomal RNA
Source: RNAcentral
UUAAAUUGAAGAGUUUGAUCAUGGCUCAGAUUGAACGCUGGCGGCAGGCCUAACACAUGCAAGUCGAACGGUAGCACAGAGGAGCUUGCUCUUCGGGUGACGAGUGGCGGACGGGUGAGUAAUGUCUGGG